RNAcentral lists this long non-coding RNA (2540 nucleotides) under Canis lupus familiaris (dog). RNAcentral describes it as "lncRNA (ENSCAFG00845021342.1)". The record is from RNAcentral. Lineage: Eukaryota; Metazoa; Chordata; Mammalia; Carnivora; Canidae.
CAGAGACAUAGAGGGAGAAGCAGGCUUCGUGCGGGGAACCUGAUGUGGGACUCCAUCCCAGGACCCCAGGAUCAUGCCCUGAGCCGAGGGGAGAUGCUCAACCACUGAGUCACCCAGGUGCCCCCAAUUAGAGGUUUUAAAAACUCAUCACCUAAGAGCAAGGCCUAAAUACCUUGUGGUUUGGAGUCAAGGUUUAGAAAACAAUGAAAGAUGAAAUGCUUGGAAAUGUGGUAAUUGUCUGGGAAAACCAGCCUGGCACUUAUUAUUCAGCAAAUGCACCCCACGAAGCCUCCUGCAGUUGCAUCCCAACUCCUACACCCACUCCUACACCCACACCCACACCCACACGUGAACACAUGAGUCCCAUUUUACACAAGUACUGCUUCGUUUGCAUCGUUUUGUAGUGUCCCCUUCUUAAAUAAAAAAAUUGAUAAUAAAAUGUGCCUAACUUUUAACUCAACACAGUCAGCCGCGACAUAACAGGGCCAAACCCUGACCAAAUGCAUGUGCUUCGUGCUCCACCUGGGGCCGCAAACCCAGGUUCUCUGGAUUGGAAGAAGAAACGCGCCUCAGAGCAGAAGCAGGUUGCAGCUGGUGGCCGUGCUGAUGACCCCAGUGCCUUCCCCCAGUCCAUCCAUGCAGGGAACGCCCGGAAGGGACACUGAGGCAAUCAGGGACCAGCCAGCCAGUCGAGAAGAGAAGUCACCUGCAAGUACCAGCAACUGCUGCUGGUAUGUCAGUUGUAGCAAGAAAGUUAAGAGGAGGAGGACCUCAGUAAGAAAAUCUUUAAGAGGAAGUAGAAACUUCUGAAUGGUUCAUCAUCUGAAGUCAUUCCUGUGAGUUAAGGAUUGCUGACCCUAGAAGAAUGUAAAUGCUUCCCAGGAAGUGGAACAUCGUGUUGCGAACAUUUUGUAUGUAAGUCGUGUUUUUCUACUGAUCGGUGGGACCCAGGCAGAGAAACUGGAACUUUUGAAUGAGUCCUUUCAAAUAAUGGGAAAAAUUCUCCCCUACGGACCUAUUUUCUGUAUGAGCACUUAAACCCCAUUUUUGUGACACCAACCACUCUUCCUGAAAAAUAAAACAUGACCAAUUUUAGGAUCCAUACGAGAGAUAAUCCAAAAGUUCAGCUCACAAAGUUGGGGGGAAAAAAGGCCCAAGCUGAAAUCUAAAAAGCUUUACAUUAUCACAACCACCAUCACCUAAAGGAGGGCUGGCUAGCUCCUCAGUCGUGUGGUAUUAACCCACCACUCUCACUGCUUCAUUCAUAAAAUGCUUUGGGAUUCUAAAUGAUUUUUCUACAAAAGCUCAGCAUCACCAGUUUAUCCAGAAAAGGAGACAAAUCGAUUACAUCACCAUGGAAAAAUCUUCCAUUCCUUUUGAUUACUCACCUAGAUUAAGUUCUUCAAGGCCCCAGGGCAGGUGUUGAAAGGACAACACAAGUGAAAACCUUCCAAACUAUAAAAUACUUAUAGGGAGUCCAGCAAAGGAUUUCUAUUUCCCAUAAUGACCUCUUCAAUUUUUUUUUCAAAUAUCAAAUAUGCACUUUUUCAGAAAAGAGGUUUUUGGGGUGAUUCUCUUUGGCCAAUCAGCACAUGCCUGCUCUUCCCUUUUGCUGACCAGUCCCGUGCGGUUUCAUUAUGAAAGACAAUUUGCUCCAAAAAGUUGCCUCGCUGUCAGGAUUUCAGUUUCUCGGGAACAGGCUUACCAGUUGAUAAACAGGUUUUUAUUAAGUGUUUGCUAAUGCCCAGCACUGAGCUAAGUCUGGAAGGAAAUUCCAAGAAUUAGGAGCACCAAGAUAGUAAAGAGUUUAUAAUCUAGUAGAGAAAGAUCAUUUAGGUAAAAAAAAAAAAAAAAAAAAUGAGGCAAUGACCAAAUGUCAGUUGGGCAAGGUGAAUGUGGAAUUGAAGGUCUGGGAGGCCCUUUGGAAAGAAGUUGAACUUGUGGGUUUUUUGGUUUUUUUGUUUUUUAUUACUUACAUUUUAUUGUAUAUGUUGAGUAAAUAAUGUAUUGCCAUGGUUCAAAAAUCCAAAGAACUCCCUUUCUCCCGUGCCUUCAACUGCAACUUCCCUCCUUAAGGCAAUCAACAUUGGUGACUUUGCCUAUUUUUUCAGAGCUGUUUUAUGGAUGUGUAAAUAAAUACGAUAAAUUUUUCCUCCCCCGUUAGAGUUACAAAGUGUAGCUACUCUGCGCCUUGAAACAGAGUGGGAGUAGAGUUGGGUUAUUAAAAGUUGAGACUCUGGAGCCCGUGUUCCCUUCUUGGCUCUGUCAAUUUUUGCCAGGGGGACCUUGGGCAAAAGUCACAGAGGCAGUUUCCUGAUCUCCGCAAAGGAGGUAAAUAAGAGUACCUGCCUCUUAUGGUUCUUGCGAGGAUUAAACAAGCUAAUGUAUAUUAAAUGCCCAGAACAGGGCCCAGCAUGUAGAAAGCACCAUAAUACAGGUUGAAUUGUGCUAUUUUCUCUUAAUGUAUCUUACAAAUGGUUCCAUAUCAGCACGAAUAGAGGAAUUUAUUUACAAAUGCUUAAUAUUUCUUUGAAGGAUAU